This 21-nucleotide non-coding RNA is filed under the name Arabidopsis thaliana (thale cress). The record is from RNAcentral. Lineage: Eukaryota; Viridiplantae; Streptophyta; Magnoliopsida; Brassicales; Brassicaceae.
GGUUUUGGAUGCGGUUUUGGU